RNAcentral lists this ribosomal RNA (440 nucleotides) under uncultured bacterium. RNAcentral's name for it is "partial 16S ribosomal RNA". It matches the Rfam family "Bacterial small subunit ribosomal RNA", at positions 338 to 795 of the family's 1533-position model. The record is from RNAcentral.
CCUACGGGAGGCAGCAGUAGGGAAUUUUGGACAAUGGGCGCAAGCCUGAUCCAGCAACGCCGCGUGGGGGAAGAAGGUUUUCGGAUUGUAAACUCCUUUUGUAAGAGAAGAUAAUGACGGUAUCUAAAGAAUAAGCACAGGCUAAAUCUGUGACAACAGCCGCGGUAAUACGGAGGGUGCAAACGUUACUCGGAAUCACUGGGCGUAAAGAGCGCGAAGGUGGGAUAGCAAGUCAGAUGUGAAAUCCUAUGGCUUAACCAUAGAAAUGCAUUUGAGACUGUUAGUCUAGAGUGUGUGAGAGGUAGGUGGAAUUCUAGGUGUAGGAGUAAAAUGCGUAGAUAUCAAGAGGAAUACUGAUGGCGAAGGCGGCCUCCUAGAACGUAACUGACGCUGAUGCGCGAAAGCGUGGGGAGCAAACAGGAUUAGAUACCCCAGUAGUC